RNAcentral lists this ribosomal RNA (118 nucleotides) under Pteropus alecto (black flying fox). Lineage: Eukaryota; Metazoa; Chordata; Mammalia; Chiroptera; Pteropodidae. The record is from RNAcentral.
GUCUAUGGCCAUGCCACCCUGAACGUGCCGAUCUUGUCUGAUCUCGGAAGCUAAGCAGGGUUGGGCCUGGUUAGUACUUGGAUGGGAGACCACCUAAGAAUACCAGAUGCUGUAGGCA